RNAcentral lists this long non-coding RNA (15486 nucleotides) under Homo sapiens (human). Its description in RNAcentral is "HSALNT0024226". The record is from RNAcentral. Lineage: Eukaryota; Metazoa; Chordata; Mammalia; Primates; Hominidae.
UCUCACUCACUCUGUCACUUAGGCUGGAGUGUAGAGGAGCGAUCCCGGCUCACUGCAACCUCUGCCUCCUGGGUUCAAGCGAUUUUUCUGUCUCAGCCUCCUGAGUAGCUGGGAUCACAAGCAUGCACCACCACACCUGGAUAAUUUUUUAAAUAUUUUUAGUAAAGACAGGGUUUCACCAUUUUGGACAGGCUGGUCUUGAACUCCUGGCCUCAAGUGAUUCACCCACCUCAGCCUCCAAAAGUGCUAGGAUUACAGGCUUGAGCCACUGCGUCCGGCAUCUUCCUUCAUUUUAUUAAUUGCACAGCAUGUGGUAUUUGGUCACCUGUUAUGAGCCUGACUCCAUGCCAAGUGCUGAGGCCGUCACCCUGGUUAAGAUCCCCACCAUCUGCAGCCUACUGCAGUGGAGGAGGCUACAUUCCCGAAGGUAAGUUACAGUGUCAGCAAAGUGCUGUGGGCCCCUGAGCAGGCGGUUGGGAAAGCCUUUACCAAGGCAACGAUACUUGAUUUGGGUCUUAUGGGAGGACAGGGAGUGUAAUCCAAAGUGAAAGGGCAAGGGAGGUCUAGCUAGAGGGAGGGUGGCAGGGGAUCGGGGCCUGGUGUGGAAGUCAUGCGUUGCACUCAUGUGUGCAUGGACCCCAGCAGGGUAAGUGUGAGGCCACAGGCGGGACCCCAUGUGCCAUGCUUAGGGGUUCAGACAUUGUCCUGGAGAUGAUGAAGGACCCCUGAGAGUUUUAAGCAGAGUUGGGUGUGAAGAUGGAUCUGAGAGGCCAAGACCGAGCAGGGAGACAAGUCAUGAUGGUCCUGAUCCGAGACGGUGUGGGAGGUGGGAACUGACUUUAAGAUGGUGGAAAUGCAAAGCCAGGUGAUGUUUCUGGGACAGGAUUGACCAAAUCUAGUGACCUACUAGAUAUAGGGAGAAAAAAUAAGGAAAGCAUAGGGGAUCACACUGAGGGUUUGCAUUUGAGAGACUAGAGUCAGGAGGCAAGGCAGGAUGGGGGUGGAGAAGGGGAAUGAUGGGGCUGAAAUUAGACCACAGUGGUGGUGGGAAUGUGGACACUGAGGGAAGAGGAGGCAGUGAGCACACGAGUCUUUCAUGAUGUUUGGUGAUGAAGAGAAGGAGGGAUGUUCUGUAGCUUUAAAGGAUUUUUCAAAAGUAGGAGAAAGAACCUGUUUGUAAGUAGAGGGAAGAUACGGUAGAGAGGGAGAGAUCAUAGGGUGUAGAGAACUGCCAUUUGCUGAGUGGGUGCCGCUUGCAGGCCCGGAGCCAUGCCCUUAACAUGCAUAUCUCAUUUCAGCAGCAUGCCAACCCAUGGGGUAGCUCUACUUAUACCCAUUUUCUGAAUGAAGAAACUGAGGCAGACCGAUGGAUUCACCCAGGGAUGGGACUUGCUGAGCAGUUGAAGCAAAAGAAUAGAGUGACUGGGAAGGGAAGAAAAUGAAGUCAAACGAAAGCUAAUAGAAUGGGGUGGCGGAGUGCGGGGCUUAACGGGCUGAGGGGUGUCUAUAUUCCAGACGUGGGAUUUGGAGUUGUUCUGGCUAAUGUCAAAGACCACACACAAGGACAUGGACGUCAACGGUUCAUUCACAUGAGAUGACAGUUACCCAGGAUGAACCAACUGCAAAAAGCUGUCUGUGGAUGGUAACUGCAGGUGACCUGAAUGCAUGUGCCUCCUCCUUCUUUUUCCGCUUUUUGUCUUUUCCUUAAGCCUCUCUGAACAGUAUCUUCAGAAGUGUCUGUUUCCCACAGAGCAUGGUGUGUCCAAGAAAUACCCCACAUUCCCAUUGCCUUUGCUAUUUAAUGCUGUAGUUGGGAGAGGCAGUCUUGCUUUCUGCUUGCCUGUCUUUUUGGAGCACAUAUGAACUACAAAUAGAUACAGCCCACAUUUUGCCUCAAAGAUAUAUUCUUUGUUUUCUCCAAGUUGCCAAGUUGAACUCUAAGCUGAUGUUUAAUUUAUCUGUGGUAAUGAGGAACGGGGAUAGCCUUGCAUAAUUGGAAUCUGAAGAUAAGCCAAAAGCUUCUUUUAGCCAAAAUUCCUACAUCCUUUCCCACCAACUCUUUAUGCCUGUGUUGCUAACAAAUGGCAAAUUGACUAAUCUGAGUUUCACCAGUUCUUUGUGUGGUGUAUCUGACCUUUCACAAUGGGUUCAUACCAGAGUCCACUUCCAUGGUCCUUCAAGAUGUGGGUGUCUGGUUCUCAGGUAACCAACCAAAACCUUUGUACCUACCACUCAUGUAUAUUUCAGUUGAAGUUAGAAAAGCACCCCCUCAGUCUAUAGCUAACCUCUGGUGAAAUUGAGGAAUGAAUGAAUUGCUAAGCCAUCUAUAAAUAGAAUUCCGGGACAAUUCAUCUGAUGUGAGAGACAACCCUUUGAUAGGUUUCUGAGAAGAUGUGUGAAGCCACUACUCUCAAUUGUUCUUUCAUUUACUUUUUGCUAAUCAAAGCCCCAGACAUAUUCCAAAAUGUGAGAUGUUUUGGAAGAUUAACCAAAACACAAGCUGAAAUUUACCAGGGGCUCUGUAUAAAGUUAUACCCUUAGGCUUUUAUUCUCAAAGCCCUCCCAAGUACAGAAGUGUAGCAUGGGAUGAUGUGACAUAGAAUCGCAGAGUGGGAGGAGCCCACCAUACUUCAAUUCAGUGUAUCCAGAAGGAAAACUAAGGUUCACAGACUUGCUUAGGGGCUUAGUCAAGGGACUAUUUGUUCAGAACCAACAUUCAUACAAAGAGUCUUAAAUUUAAAAGGGGAUUUAUUUCAGAGAAACCUCAUGGAAACCAGUUGAAAGAGGGUUAGUGGGGACUUUCGGGAAGUGAAAAGUCGCUGGUUAAUUUCUCUGUUUCUAUCUCUGUGGGGCCUUGCAGAUUCUUUUCUUUGCUUCCGGGAGCCUUCUUCAUAUCUGCAGUGGAUAUGAGGUGAUAUGGUUUGGCUCUGUUCCCCACCCAAAUCUCAUCUCGAAUUGUAAUCCUACGAUCGCCACGUGUCAAGGGCAGAAACUGGUAGGAGGUGAUUGGAUCGUGGGGGCAGUGUGCUGUUCUCGUGAUAGUGAGUGAGUUCUCACGAGAUCUGAUGAUUUUAUAAAGGGCUCUUCCCCUUUCGCCAUUCACUCUGUCCUGCUGCCUUGUGAAGAAGGUGUCUGCUUCCUCUUCACCUUCUGCCAUGAUUGUCAGUUUCCUGAGGCCUUCCCAGCCAUGCUGAACUGUGAGUCAAUGAAACCUCUUUCCUUUAUAAAUUACCCAGUCUCGGGUAUUUCUUUAGAGCAGUGUGAGAAUGGACUAACACGAGGCUUCGCUGGUCUCUCAUGACCAACCCAAAAGGCAAGGUCAGCUUCCAUGUCUCAAUGGCCUUCCAGUGAGGCCCCUCACAGCUAACUGACCAGGGCAGGGGUCUCCUUGGUCCAGCUGAGAUCAGGGCCUGGCUCCGGCCCAUGCCUGUGGUAAGAGUGGGACUAUCCCUUGUGGAGCUGACAAGGGCUGACUCUCUGUAAGGGUGGCUAAGGCACUACUGGCCACUCUGGUGCCCCAGGAUGGCACAGGCAGGUCAGAACCUGGCUGUCACUCCAGGCCAGCCUUCUGCCACUGACUGGAAAGGUGGGCUCAAACACAACUGCAGUUAAAAGAGAGGAAUUGCCCCGGAGGUGAAUGCAGUCACCUGCAUAGGGGAAAAGGAGGUGAGAGGCCUGCUCUACUCCCCCUGAUCAGAUGCCAUCCAAGGGCACAUGGCUGACAUGUUUGAAGAAAAACCCAGAGUCAACUCAGAGCCCAACUCAGGCCUGAUAAAAAGUGACUAUGAUGAUGAAGAGAUUCAAAAUUAUGCUGCAGAAGGAAUGGCUGGAGGGUCUAGGCGUAUUUCACCUGGAAAGAGGAAGCUUUAAAGGAGAUGUGAGUCUUUUGUCCAAAUGUGUAGACUGACUAAAUUCUUUAAAGAGUUUUAUGUUUGUGUAUAUCUGAAGGGUCCAGAACUAGCAUCAAAGGGUAGAAUUUAGAGGGAGGAAGACUUUGGAUUAAAAUUAGGGGCCACAUACUUUCUGUGAGGGUAUCUUGAUAUUGGCUGCCCUGUCACAUUUAAGAAAGGAUGGGAUGAUCAUUCGUAAGAGAAGCUGUAGAGCUGAUCCACAAACUAAGGGAGUUCUGAAGUCUAUUCUAGUUUGGAAUUCUAUGGCUCUGCUGCAGGUGCAUCUGGUUGGCUGGAUUGAUUGCUAUCACAGGGGCAGAGGCCACUGUGUAUGAUCACUUAGGUCAGUGAAAUCAGUAGAGGCCAAGCGGCUGCACCACUGGAGGACAGCAGGUUGCCCUGAUCCUGAAUCCCUUCAACACUGGGCCUUCUCACAUCUGUUUGAGACAAGCCACUUUCAGCUGAGAUGCACUAGAUCCUUCAAGCCUCUCUACCACCCACAGGGUCACCAUCUGCUGGAGCGGCCAGUGGGGCUGCAGGUUACCCAUCAAAGCCCAAGCUAUGAAAUUGUCAUUGAGAGGAGUGCUUUAGACAUAGAGCUCAUUUGGUGGCAGAGAUCAGAAGCUUGUUCAAAGCAGCCUGGAAUUUUUAAAAGAAUAAGGGAAACAUGUAAAGGUAUGCAUUUUUAAGGUUUAAAGUGGUUUUGCAGAAACUCAAGAAAAGCUGAACAUCAGGAGUGAGGGGGGACAGAAGUUAAAGCCACAAGAGUUCACCAGUCUUUCUACUAGCGUGCUACUAUCCAUGUGACUCAGCUCUUAUCCUCAGGGCUGCUGCUUAUUCCCUCUCCUUGUGUCUCUUCACUCGAAACCCAGGAGAGGACUGUGAUUGCUAGCUAGUUGAUAGAUUGGCUGGUUGGAUCUCUUUUUUUUGAGACAGAGUCUCACUCUGUCACCAGGUUGGAGUGCAGUGGCACGAUCUCGGCUCACUGCAACCUCUGCCUCCCAGGUUCAAGUGAUUCUCCUGUCUCAGCCUCCCAAGUAGCUGGGACUACAGGCGCACGCCACCAUGCCCAGCUAACUUUUGUAUUUUUAGUAGAAAUGGGGUUUCACCAUGUGGCCAGGAUGGUCUCGAUCUCUUGACCUCAUGAUCUGCCUGCCUCGGCCUCCCAAACUGCUGGGAUUACAGGCGUGAGCCACCGCGCCUGGCCAGCUGGUUGGAUCUCUUACCCAUCCCCAGACUAAUAAACCCUAGGCUUCAGGGCCUGAUUAUCCAGGGCUGUACCUAGAGCAAGUUAAGCUAGAAAGAGAAAUUGGGCUUGGCAGAAACGUUGACCAAAUCCUUCAAUACUGAGGACAACCAAGAGUACUGAGUAACCCAGCAGGAUGUGCACCCAACCAGUCCAUACUAAUUUGGGGUCAUUCAUACCUUUGCAGUUUUAACUCCUUUUCUCUUCCUCCACUUGCUUUUCUCUUUAUAUCAACAAAAUCUUAUUGCUCCUUAUUGGUUCAAUCAUCCCAAAAUACAUCAGUAUAAUAUAUAUAAUUACUAAUAUACAGUUGUUAGUGAGUGAAUUAAUUAGAAUGAAUAAUCAAGGUUUGAUGUUCAAUGAGUUUGUAAUACCUAAACCAGAGUUUAGGUAGGUAUUAUAUACAUUAUUUACCUAAACUCUGGUAUUAUAUACAGGCUCUUGGGCUAGCAGGCAUACUGAUGUAUUCUGGGAUCAUUGAACAUCAAGCGUUGAUUAUUCAUUCUAAUUAAUGCACUCAUUAGUAAUUGUAACAAAUAAUUAUUAAGUGCUGAAUUAUGAGCAUAGCUCUCUUCUAGAAAAACGGAGGAAUAAUCUGUGGUUUAUGUCCUCAGGCAGCUUGCAGUCUAUCUGAGAAAACAAGACAUACCCUCAAGCAGAUAAUUGCCAUUUACAGUCAUUCCUAUGAUCUCAGCACUAUGUGGGUUUAAUCAGCCUUCUGCUAAAAGGAACCAGGUCCAAGACAUUCAGCAUGGCAUGGUAGCUAAGCAAGAUCCAGUGUCUUCAUUCAGCACUGACAGAGUCACUGUCUCUGAGCAGUACUUAGCUACAGAAACUUUGAAGCCUUCUGCAAUUUAUUAUGCUGAGUGCAUCUAAUCAACAUGUAGAAUAAAGAUGGAGCUCCAGAGAAGUUAGCACGCAAUCUGGGUGACAGGUGCUGAGCAAGGACAGCCUCUUCCCAAUACUCUCCAAGCGGCCUGCUGUUUCCAGGGAAUGAUAUUAUCAUUCUUGGCAUCUAGAACAGGACUCAAUGUAAGAUUGUCUAAGGCAGUCACUGGCUACAGUUCAUGGAAGCUUCAGGACGGCACUUGGCAUGAGCUCUCAGUGCUAUGGAAAAAAGAAGCUCUUAGGUGGAAUAUUUCUAGCUAAAAAAUGUAUAGUUUUUUUUGUUGUUGUUUCUGUUCCUUUCAUUUUUAUUUUUAGAAAUAGGAUUUCAAAGGGCAUUUGUCCUGGUCCCUCAGGAAAGAACAUUUUCUAAAGUGUUCCCAUCAACAAUGCCUCAGGUGUUACAGGUCCCUACUCUUGGCCAUCCAGCUCUGCCACCGUGCCUGGAUUCUGCAUUUUCAAAGGGACCAGCUUACCAGCAGCAUCCUCUUCCUGCUGCCUCUUGACUCACACAGAUCCCAUCAAUAAGCAUUCACUGAGGCCUGCUCUAAGUGAGGCUCUGGGGAGAGUGCUGUGGGAGCUUCAAGAGCAAUAGCAGCCCUGAGCUCCAGGAGCUUCCCCUCUGAGGUGGGGAAUUGCGAUGCAUGGAACAUCUCCAACACACAAAGCAGACUCUUGCUAGGCUUCGAACUGGAAUUGCAUUGAUCGUAUUAACUUGGGGGAGAUCUGAUAUAUUUAAAAGAAAAAAAUAAGCCGGGCAUGGCGGCUCACGUCUGUAAUCCCAGCACUUGGGGAGACUGAGGUAGGUGGAUCAUUUGAGGUCAGGAGUUUGAGACCAGCCUGGCCAACAUGGUGAGACCCCGUCUCUACUAAAAAUACAAAAAUUAGCCGGGCGUGGUGGGUGCCUGUAAGCCCAGCUACGUGGGAGGCUGAGGCAGGAGAAUCGCUUGAACUUGAGAGAUGGAGGCUGCAGUGAGCUGAGAUCAUGCCACUGCACUUCAGCCUGGGUGACAGAGUGAGACUCUGUCUCAAAAAAGAAAAAAAAAAAAAAAGAAAAAAAUAUAGGCGAUGGAACAGAAAAGUGGGCAGUGGCUAUGAAGAUGCAAUCCAAAUAUAAGGUAAUACUUAUCACCAAAGAAAUAGCAAUUAAGACAACAGUGAGACAGCAUCUUGUGUCUGUCAGAUUGGAGGAAAAAUACUAAAUUGAAUAAUGUGAAUUGUUGUUGAGGAUUGUGGAACUAGCCUUCCAUGAAACGUUUCUAGAAGUCUAAAUGAGUGUAGACACUCCAGAGAGCAAUCUGGCGGUAUUUAGCAAUCCCAUACCUGGGCAUAUAACUUGGACAAACUCUGAUUAUAACAGACUAGGCCCAAGGAUAUGUUUAUUGCAGUAUUAUUGGUGGUAGUGAUGAGUUGGAGGCAAUAUAAGUUUCUACCACAAGGAGGGUUGAUAUGAGCGUUUGAUGAAUAGUAUGCAGUAGUCAGAAUAAUAAAACAGAUGUACACUCAGCAUGGAGAAAUCUGAAUAAGAUACUGUUGGCUGAUGACAGUAAGACAUGGAUUGAGAUAUAUAGUAGAGUGUCAUUUAUAUAAAUUCAAAACACGUGCACAAGAUGAUCAUGUCUCUAGUAGCUACAAAAGUGCUUGAUACAGAGUAGGCCUUCAGUAAAUUGUUUUACUUGUUGUCAAUAAAAAUAUAUAUACUAAAUAAAUAUCUAACAUUUAUGUAAGUUAAGAAUACAUAGACAUAUACAUAUUUUAAGGGUAUAUACAAAUGCGAAACAUAAUUUAAGGGUACGGCUCUUCUGGAUAGUCCAGCGUUCAAAUGGAGUUCUCUGGAGUGAAGUAAAAUUAAUUCACAAACCUCUGUUGCAUCCAAGGUCAAAUACUCUCACGAACACCCACUCUCUGUUCCCUGGUUUAAUACUCACUGAGUAACAUUCUGAAGCCUGAGACUUUUAUACAUACCCAGUUUCCAGAAAAGGCACAAAGAAGCUUUCCCCAAAAGAAAAUACAUGAAUAUUCCAUUUAUUUAAAAACAUCCGAGCAGGUCUAAGCAAUAUAAAUUAAUAUAGCAGCAUCAGUGUCUUGUGAGUUAAGACGAGUGUCCUAAGAUUUAGUUGCUUAACUGAUUCCUCUAUGUCCCUAAAUCAAAUGAUGAAAUACAGAUUUAGGUUCCAUUUUUUUGAAAGAAUACUUCAUAGGUCAUUCUGUCUACUUCCUACUGCACCACAUUUAGGAGGGAGGCACAUCAUGUGUGGUUGUCUCUUUAGUAAUUCUGAGAUUGGUCAAGGGGUCCAGGUGGUGUCUGACCUUAUUCCAUCAUUACAAAAGAAGUCACCAUCUACUUUUUACCUAGUGGUUUCAGUAUCUUUGGAUAAUCACUGCCCGGAUUUAUCAAGGUUUGCAAAAUGAUUUUCUAAUUCUGUGGUUCCUUCUAUACACAUUAGCUGGGAUUCUUCAAAAUGUAACUUACAAAACAAACAAAAUCACUAUCAAGACUUGACAUUCCUUCUUCCAUAUCAAUUUUCAGAAUAGUGAUAAAAGUUACCAGUAAUGAUUUCUAGUGGAGACCAAUAUGUUUUUCUCAUCAUUAUAUACUUUUUUUUUUUUUUGAGACAGAGUCUUGCUCUGUCACCAGGCUAGAGUGCAGUGGUGUGAUCUCUGCUCACUGCAACUUCCGCAUCCUGGGUUCAAGCAAUUCUCCUGCCUCAGCCUCCCAAGUAGCUGGGACUACAGGUGCACACCACCACGCCCAGCUGAUUUUUGUAGUUUUAGUAGAGACAGGGUUUCACCAUAUUGGCCAGGAUGGUCUCGAUCUCUUGACCUCGUGACCUGCCCACCUCAGCCUCCCAAAGUGCUGGGAUUACAGGCAUGAGCCACUGCGCCCAGCCCAUAAAUUUUUAUAUAUUUGAUGAGGUUGAAUUAAUUGCCAUCAUUAUUCUCUUUUCUCUCUCUCUUUAGGAUCCUUAAACAGCUUAUAUUCAAUAAACUGCAUAUGUUUAAAUGGCACACUUUGUAAAGUUUGGUGAUACUGUACAGUCACAAAAGCAUAAUCAAUGUAGCAAACAUAUCUAUUGUAAUCUAAAAUGUCCUUGUGCCUUUUUUAACCUCCUGCUCCUCCUCCAUACUAUAUCCCCAGGCGACCUCUGAUUUACUUUAUGUUGGAAUUUUUGAGAAAUUCAUACAAAUGGCAUUAUUUAGUAUGUACUCUUUGUGUCUGACUGCUUUUACUCAGCAUAAUUAUUUUGAGAUUCAACAUGUUGUCUGUAUCAAUACCUUUAAUUGUCAAGUGGUAUGCUAUUGUAUGACUAUGUCACAAUUGUUUAGCCAUCGAUGAACAUUUGGGUCGUUUCCAGUUUGGGGUUACUACAAAUAAAGCUGCUAAGAACAUUUUUAUAUAAAUCUUUGUGCAGACAUAGAUUUUAUUUCUAUGGGAUAAAUACCUACUAGUGGAAAGGCUACAUCAGAUAGUAGGGUAUAUACUUAACUUUUCAAAAAAAACUGCAAAUGUGCUUUCCAUAGAAGUGCUAUUGCACAUUUCUCCUGAGCAUGAGAAUUUCAAUUCUUCCCCAUUCUCUCCAAUAUUUAGUAUGGUCAGACCUUAUAAUUUUAUCCAUUUUAAUAGGAGUAUAUUAUGGUUUGAAUGUGUCCCCUCCAAAAUUCAGGUGUUGACAUUUAAUGGCCAAUGUGAUAGUAUCAAGAGAUAGGACCUUUAAGAGGUGGUUAGGUCCUGAGGACUCCUCACUCAUGAAUGGGAUUAAGAGAUUUCGUGCAGCUUUUGACUCCCUUGCCCUUUCACCUUUCACCAUGUGAGGACACAGUGUUCCUCCCCUCCAGAGGACGCCACAACUGGGCGCCAUCUGGGAAGCAGAGGGCAGUCCUCAAUAGACAAAGGAACCUGCCAGCAUCUUGAUCUGGGACCUUGCAGCCUCCAGAAACUAUGAGAAAUACAUUUUUGUUCUUUGAUAAAUUACCCAGUCUUCUGUAUUUUGUUAUGGCAGCACAAAAAGAACUGUGACACUGUGUACAUGUACUUAAUCGUGGUUUUACAGCAGUCUCCCUUUCUCUGCUGUUUCACUUUUUUGUUGUUUGUUUGUUUUGAGAUGGAGUCUCGUUCUUGUCGCCCAGUCUGGAGUGCAAUGGCGUGAUCUCGGCUCACCGCAACCUGUCCUCCUGGGUUCAAGCAAUUCUUCUGCCUCAGCCUCCGAAGUAGCUAGGCUUACAGACACGUGCCACCACACCCUGCCAAUUUUUGUAUUUUUAGUAGACAGGCUGUUAGGCAGGCUGGUCUUGAACUCCUAACCUCAGGUGAUCCGCCCACCUUGGCCUCCCAAAGUGCUGGGAUUACAGGCAUGAGCCACCGCACCCAGCAUGCUGAUUCACUUUCUGCAGUUUCAGUUACCCACAGUCAACCAUGGGCCAGAACAUAGUUACACUGCCACAAGUUGUGGAUGGGAGGGCUGGAUUUCCUGAACCCUUCCCAGCAUUGCUCGAGUUUCUUGGUUCCUCCGCUAGAGAAGAGGAGCCCCAGAGCUCUGUAGGCUCCAGAAAAGUGCCCAAAUCAUAAGCAGACAUCUCAUUGGAUUUACUGAGCACACCCAGGUAUCCACCACCCAAGGGAAGCAACGAAGGUGACCCCACCCAGCAUUUACCCUGUGUCCCUAUCUUGGACAUUGAUUCUGCUCCAGAGGUCACAAUCUCAUGCCGCCAAUUGCCAUAGAUUCGUUUUGCUUGGUCUUAAACUUUAUAUAAAUGAAAAUUCAACUUUAUGCUGUCUACAAGAGGCAUACUAACUCAUAAAAAUUAAAAGACUGACCCAGAAAACACAGCAAAAAGAAAAAUAUCACGAAAUGAUUGUCAGUCCAAUUAAAAUUCAAGACUGGAAGAAUUCAUGGGUCAGAGAAGGCAGGCUAGGCUGGCCCACUUUAGCCUAAAUCCCGGGAUCCAGCAAGCAUUCAUCUCACAUAGCUCGGGUUUUACUGAGUUGGUUCCUCUGCCUGCUUCUCUGACUUGUUUACCCGUGGAGUACACGAGAACUACAACCCCCAGCAUGCACUGCGCUGGUACAAGUGGAUCUGCUCGGCACCUAUAACCUAAUUACCUCUCAGGCUCACACAAGUCUCUGGCCGCUAAGCGAAUGAUCUCCCAAAGGGAUUAUUCUCAAGCAGCACAGAAACUGUCCCUAUGCCUCAGGUGGCCCCAGAACUCUUUCGUACUAGAGACUUAUCUGUUAAUAAAGUUAACAAAGGAAAGUGGCCUUCCAAGAAUGUUUGUUUGGGCCACUACCUGGAAGAAAUAACACUUGACCAUGAGAGACUUGGCUGAGCAGUGCUGGGUCAGCUUAACCAAAGAAGACCAGCCAUCACCCACGGCAAGAGCAGCUCUGACUUGGACCCACUGUUCCCCCAGCCUGUUAGCAGCCUGUGAACAAUCUUUAAGUGACCCCUGGCCCUGUCACAUCUCCAUUCAACAGGGUUCUUGGGGAGGAUGUGUGGACCGAGAACAGUGCCCACCCACACCACCUGUAAGUGUGGCCACGGCAGCCAGCCAGCAUGGAUGCUAAGUAACAAGUGGUAUUGGGGCACAGAUGUGGCGGGAGCGCUUUGGGGCAAAGAAAGAGGUGCUGUGAGUGAGGACAGAAAGGAAGGGGAAAAAAAAGCCUCAUGGGUUAGAGCGCCUCUCACCUUUGGCUCUUCUUCAGAAGACUGGUAAAAGAAAACAAGAAGAGAAAUUGGUUUCCCUGACUUCUCUAAAGCAAGCGUUCUUCAGAAAAGAGAAUCGAUCAGCCUGGUUAAAGUGGAUAAACUAUGUGAUGUCCAUCCAGAGAGGUGUCUAUUAAUGGCUGUAAAAUGGAAAGAUGAAUCAAUGGGACCGAUUAAUAUUUAUGAAGAGUUGAACUAGGCAGAGUGAAAAAGCCUUGUAUAUUGGAUAAGAAAGGAAAAGCAUUGCACACCAUAGGAUGCGUUUGUUUGGCUAAGGUUUCUGUUUUGAUCACUGGGUAAUUGUAUAGAGCAGGGGCGUAUGGUAGAGAAAGAAAAUCUAUAUCUAGAAGUUAUUGACUUUAUGUACAAAAGCACUGGUUGGUGCCUAUUUUUGAGGACCACUCCAUCUUAAAAAUAACUUUGGUUUUGUACGGCCUAGUUGUGGUGGAAAAGGAGCUCCAAAGAGUAAGCAAGUUUCCUACAAAAAGAAUCCAAGCUGUUGAAACUACAAUUAAGAAAUGCAAAGAGUUACUAAUUUUACUACUUAGAGGAAAGGAAAUUCACAAGCAGGAAAGAAACUGUGGAUCAGGGCAAGUUGUAACUCUAGAGGUUCAGAGAUAGGAGCUCUAAUUACACCAGGGCAAGGGAGUACUGUUUGGGGAAAUUUCUGAAACAUGAAAUAGGAAAGCUGAGGGUCAAAAUGAUAUUGUGAUGUGAAUAAAUAGAGAAGACAUGUUUGCAUGGAGCUCAGCUGGGUAAUCAUGGAAAGAAGGAGGGGCGAAGGAGGAAACUGAAAAUCGAAAUAAAGAACAGAAGCACAGACCAUGAAAUAUGCCAAAUAUAGUGUGCAAAUACUCAGAAGGCAUGGAAAGAUAAGUUAGAAGCCAAAACUCAGUUAUCACUAUCGUGUGAAGGAACAAUAAAACUCUUAGCAAAAACAAAUGACUUAGCAUGAGACCAAUACUGCUUUCCUUAGGUAGCUUGGUCCAGAGGGAAAAGGCUGAUAUCACUCCCUAUCAAGGGUUUUUAGACGGUUUAAGUGAGCUCUGCAAGUGGGAGACACGGUGAUGAUUAUUGACAGUUGCUAUCUUUCAAGGGGGAGAAGCAAACUGAUGUUACACAUUAGAAUUAGUUAGCACCACCGAACACAGGUUACAAAAAUACUGGGAGGAAUUCUCUCUCCUGAGCACAUUACGCAAUAUUUGCAAAUGUGUGCAGGUAAGUGUUGACUCUCUCAUCAUGCUGGACCUGGAAAUGGUUCUCAGCAAAUCAUGGCAUGAUUUCUUUUUCAAAGUUGGGUACACGAAUAUUAUCGUAACCAGCUAAGAGCAGGGAGACGUGGCAUGGGAGACUAACAGAUAGUGCAGCUUUUAAGAGAAGACGUAGAAAUCAAUCUAGUAACAAAUAUUUAUUAAGCAUUGGAGUGUGCUAGGCACCAAGAGAAAAGAAACCUCCACAGCUGAUAAAGCCUUUCAAAAUAAUGUCCUCAGUUAAUUUGCACAUUUCCAUGAGGUAGGUGUUGUUAGCCAUUUCCGUUAAUGAGAAAAAAAAAAAUGAGAUUCAGAAAGGUUAAUUAAAUUGGAGAUCUCCUGAUUUUUUAGUUUUAUAUCCUUCCCGUGUCCUUUCCAGGCUUAUAUUCUGGUCCUAUCACUUCUCAGCUGAGUUACUUCAACAAGUUAUUUAUUCUCUGUGUUCCCAGCUGUCAAAAUGAAAAUGCCAGUACCCACCUGGUAAGGAGUGAGAGAACAUUUAUAAAAAUGCUCGGCUGGGUACCUGACACAUAGGAGGUCCUCAGUAAAUUUGUUUUCUCCCUUUCUUCCUGAAGUACGGUGGCAGAGGGAUUCAGCCAGCCAGCCUGGGUAGCACAAGCCAUGAUGCCCUGCUGAAUCUGUGUUCUAGGGUCGGACAGGGGGAGUCCUUUUGCCUAGAGGGAUGGUGUGCGAGGCCUAAGAGGACUUGGGCAGAGUCUUGAAGGACGAGCAGGAUUUGCUGUGGUGGAGAGGUGGUCACGGGUUGAGCAGAUAGGAGAACCAAGGAAUCAAGGCAGGGAAAGAGAGGGGAUGCAUGUGAAGGGCCAGGAGCUGUUAACUAGUUUGCUAAGCAGCAGGCGAGGAUUUAGAAGGAGUUGGAGAAGUGUGGAGGGAGCUGAGGCUCUUGUGAGGGGAACUUUUAUGCUAAGGGUUCCAACUUGGCCCUGUGAAUGAAGGUGAGCUGGGGAAGGUUUGUGAACUUGGAGUCUCACCUGUAAAAGAUUAAUCUGGUGCCAGUGUACAGAAUGGACCGUCAAGGAAGAGGUGGAAAAACAAGGAAAAUUUGUAUUUUAUAGACACACACACACAUAGACACAGAGCCCUUUUUAUUAGAAAACAUAUAAUCAACUUAACCCCAUUUUAAAUGGCUUGGACAUUAAUUUUACUCUUGUAAUUGAUUAUAGAGGUUUAAAACUGUUGUGUUUUUGCCUUUGUGACAUAUUAUGGCUGUAUCUAAAAUUUAUUUGAUGUUAAAUCAAGAACAAAACUCUUCAAUUCUAUUGUUGUUCCUAAGGUAAAAUAUAAUCUACUUUGAGUCAAUUCACUGUGUCAUAAACUUUCCAGGAAUGGGAAACUUGAUAAAAAGCAGAGACUCACUGCAUAUGACAAUAAUUAAAUCUAUAUUCAACAAGUAUAAAAGAAUGGUUGUAGGGGUGAGCAAUUUGGAAGAAAAAAAGCCACUUGACUUAAAUAUGACAGAAAAUCAUACUGAGGUCUGACACCCCAUGACCUUUUUUGAGAUUUGAGGUUAUGCCAUGUAUUUGAGAAUAAAUAAAAUCCAUUUAAGUGUCUAUAUUAUUAAAUGAAUCGUAUUUUCAGAAAGCAUUAGAUAAAGUCUGUUUUAGACCUUGGAAUCCAUUUUUCUCAUGAACACAAUAUCGUAAAUAGAUGAGAAUUGAGUUCCCAGUCUAUAAAACCCUUAUUAAAUCAUCAUGUAGCUGAACUAUUCUAUAUUGGCAAUCAAUAGAGUUGAGUAAUCUUUUCAUAGUCACAGUGAUAAAAAAACAAAAAAUAUUGAAGAAGUAAUUUUUCAAAAAAUAGAGGUAUAGCACGUUUAAUUAUGGAUUAAGAGGCCGAUAAAUAAUUUUGUGGUGAUUCUGAAGAGACUAUCUGGGCACUUUCAAAAGCUUUAGAGUUGAUAAACUGUUCUUAUUAUGUCUAAUUUAAUAUUCAAAAUUUAUGACCAUUCAUUCAUUCAUCAAACAUAACUUAGAUAUCUACAAUAGGUAUUGUGCUAGCCGCUGGAGAUUUCAAUGUAAUGAAACAGUUCCUAACUUAAAGAAAAGCAGCACUUGAAAUUUUACUAAUGCAUUCAGUCAUUUACUUAACAGAUACUGAAUGUUUGCUACCGUGAGUCUAUUAUUCCUAUGCGUAUCAACUCCCAGGAAGCAUGUGUAGCUCGCUGAUGGAAUACAGAGAAAUAUUCCUGAGAGAAUACCAAAAAUAGUCCGUUUGUGCUACUAAAACAAAAUGGCUGAGACCGAGUAGCUAGCUUAUAAAGAACAGAAAGCUAUUUUCUCACAGUUCUGGAGGCUGGGAAGUCCAAGAUAAAAGCACCAACGGGUUUGGUUGUCUGGCAAAGGCUUCUCUCUGUUUCCAAGAUGGUGCCUUGUUGCUGUGUCCUCCAGAGGGAAGGAAUGCUGUGUCUUCACAUGGCAGAAGGCUGAAGGGCAAGUGAGCUAACACUGUGUGAAGCUUAUUUUAUAAGGACCUUAAUCCCAUUCAAGAGGGAG